This 336-nucleotide unclassified non-coding RNA is filed under the name soil metagenome. Its description in RNAcentral is "partial contains 5.8S ribosomal RNA, internal transcribed spacer 2, and large subunit ribosomal RNA". The stretch from base 1 to 120 matches the Rfam family "5.8S ribosomal RNA", at positions 35 to 154 of the family's 154-position model. The record is from RNAcentral.
GAUGAAGAACGUAGCGAAAUGCGAUAACUAAUGUGAAUUGCAGAAUUCAGUGAAUCAUCGAAUCUUUGAACGCACAUUGCGCCCGCCAGUAUUCUGGCGGGCAUGCCUGUUCGAGCGUCAUUUCAACCAUCAAGCCCCAGGCUUGUGUUGGGGACCUGCGGCUGCCGCAGGCCCUGAAAACCAGUGGCGGGCUCGCUGUCACACCGGGCGUAGUAGAUUUUAUCUCGCUCAGGGCGUGCUGCGGGUUCCGGCCGUUAAAAAGCCUUUUUUACCCAAGGUUGACCUCGGAUCAGGUAGGAAGACCCGCUGAACUUAAGCAUAUCAAUAAGCGGAGGA